AAUGCGUUCCCGGGUCUUGUACACACCGCCCGUCACACCAUGGAAGUUGGGGGCGCCCGAAGUUGCCUAAGAAAUAAGGUACCUAAGGCGAAACCAAUGACUGGGUGAAGUCGUAACAAGGUAUC
RNAcentral lists this ribosomal RNA (125 nucleotides) under uncultured bacterium. RNAcentral's name for it is "partial 16S ribosomal RNA". It matches the Rfam family "Bacterial small subunit ribosomal RNA", at positions 1365 to 1500 of the family's 1533-position model. The record is from RNAcentral.